Molecule: RNA transcript, 1665 nt
Organism: Cynara cardunculus var. scolymus (artichoke)
Lineage: Eukaryota; Viridiplantae; Streptophyta; Magnoliopsida; Asterales; Asteraceae
Gene name: serine/arginine-rich-splicing factor SR34-like
Exons: 16
Source: RefSeq, a predicted model, not a curated record
CUUGUUUUACUUUCAAGCUAGUCUACUACCUCACCGUCCCCUCGAACCCUAACGACGCUGGCGGCCGGAUCURUAUCAUUUUCAAAGAAACAAUGAGUCGCUCCAGCAGAACGCUUUAUGUUGGUAAUCUACCUGGAGAUAUUCGCGAGCGUGAAGUGGAGGAUUUGUUUUACAAGUAUGGUCCAAUAGCCCGCAUCGAUUUGAAAGUCCCACCAAGACCUCCAGGUUAUGCUUUUGUUGAGUUUGAAGAGGCUCGAGAUGCUGAAGAUGCUAUCAGGGGUCGUGAUGGAUAUGAUUUUGAUGGGCACAGAUUAAGGGUCGGUCGCACAUACAAGGUGGAACUUGCCCAUGGUGGCCGUGGCAACUCAUCUGCUACAGAUCGUCAUAAUAGCCACAGCAGUGGUCGGGGUGGUCACGGUGGUGUUUCSAGACGCUCCGAUUAUAGAGUUUUAGUCACUGGGUUGCCCUCUUCUGCUUCAUGGCAAGACCUUAAGGAUCACAUGCGUCGAGCUGGGGAUGUUUGCUUCUCCCAAGUUUUUAAGGAGGGAGGUGGCACCACCGGGAUUGUGGACUACACAAACUAUGAUGACAUGAAAUAUGCUAUAAGGAAAUUGGAUGACUCUGAGUUCCGGAAUGCUUUCUCUCGCGGAGUUAUACGUGUGAAGGAGUAUGAUUCUAGCCGCUCUAGGAGCCGUAGUCGCAGCCGGAGCAAGAGCUAUAGCCGUAGUCGCAGCAGAAGCCGAAGCAAAUCCCCAAAAGCAAAAUCUUCUCGCCGCUCAAAAUCCCGUUCGAGGUCUGCUUCUCCUCGUUCUCGUUCUGGAUCAGAACCCCGCCCAUCUGCAAGAUAUGGAUAUAUACGACUCUCAAAGGAUUGCAUGUUAGGAUCUUCAUGGGAUAUGUUACCAAUACCUAUAACACUUGUGGUUGUGGAGAUUGGGACAAGAAGAAUCCUGGAUAUGGAUUGCAAUCAUAAAGCUGGAUUGUGAAUAGGCGCUAUAUGAUUAUGGACUAUGGCAAUCACGGUUUUAACAAGUUGGAUCAUAUCAUUGCUUCUCCAAAUGCCACGUAGAAAAUAAAGCAUGCUGUUCAACUUAUUUGUCGGCUUUAUUGGUCUGUCAUAUAUUGGUCUCUGUUGGGCUGCUAAACAUUUGGAUUUUCCAUUGAUUGUAUUGAUUAUGGUUACUGAUUCUCUGACGUGGAAGUGGCAUCAAGGCUCUUGGAUCAGAGUAAAUUAAGAGGAACUUUUGGAUAUUAAACUCGGUUGUUUCUGGAACUUUUGCAGAUCUCCUUCAAGAUCCAGAUCUCCGCCACCUUCUCGCCCAAAGCGGGUUAGUAAAAGUCCCAAAAGACGCAGUCCUAGUAAGAGCAGGAGUCCGAGCAGAAGCAGGAGUCGUAGCAGGAGCAAGAGUUUAUCACGGUGAUGAAGCUGGUGCUAGUUGAUGGGUUGGUUCUGAAGUGGAGCGGGAAAGGUUGUUUUGGAGCUAAGAAGUUAGCUUAGCCAAGUAAGUUGAAUUUGGAACAUGACUUAUAUGUAAGCAUGGAUUUGGGAUUGUGGAUGUCUAUUUAUACUUCACUAGACCGAGUUGUUGUAUGUUGACUAGAGUUAAUGCCUUUUUGGUUCAAAGUUUUUCUAGUUUCUUGUGGAUUCCAGAUGGCACAUAUUUG